UCGCUUCAGCAGCACAUAUACUAAAAUUGGUAGAUACAGAGAUUAGCAUGCCCCUGCACAAGGAUGACACGCAAAUUCAUGAAGCAUUCCAUAUAUAU
Molecule: small nuclear RNA, 98 nt
Organism: Cricetulus griseus (Chinese hamster)
Lineage: Eukaryota; Metazoa; Chordata; Mammalia; Rodentia; Cricetidae
Source: Ensembl